This is a long non-coding RNA of Felis catus (domestic cat), 4121 nucleotides long. RefSeq lists it as uncharacterized. NCBI's taxonomy places the organism in Eukaryota, Metazoa, Chordata, Mammalia, Carnivora, Felidae. The record is from RefSeq and is a predicted model, not a curated record. The transcript has 3 exons.
GGAAGCAAGGUGGAAGCUGAUGCAAACGGCGGAGGGAGAGGCUGAGGGGGGUUGCACCCACCUGGGCUCCCCGAGUAAUGGGGUGGAGGGCCGUGUGUGAGUCCCGCUCUCCUGCUCCAGCCUCUGUCCACCGGAGCUGGAGGGGGGGUGCUGAGCGAGCAAGGGGGGUGCUGGCGCAGGCCCGCCUGUCGGCUCGGCAGGGGGAGCUCUGACGCGAGGCCACGGCCGGACGCAGCCCCAGCCAGGCGAGUCAUAACCGCCGGCCCGCAGCCACGGCCUGGGUUAAAGGGACAUUCCACUGCCCAGCAACCCACAUCCCUCUAAGCCUCCCUGCCCCUCCACCCCUGGGCGAGCGGCAUUCGGGCCUUCCUUGGGGGGACGCCGGCCCCUCCAGCCCCAGGAACAAUGCGACCCUCCUGCCGGUCAAGCAGCAGCCACUAUACAGCCCAGGAGAUCGGGGCUCAGGGCCCUCCCCACUCUAGCUGGACUACUUCAAGGUUUGCCUCCCUCCUGCCUCCCUCUGGUGCUCCCUCCCUCUCUGUCCUGCAACUAGACUGAUCCCUCUACUGUCCCUUCCAACCCGUAAGAGCUUUCCAUGGCUCCCCAUUGCCCUCGGAACAUAGCCUUGGCUUCUUCACUCGGCUAAUAAGACCCAUAGAGUCUGGCUGUGACCCAAGAGCUCUGGACAUCAUCCACAGGGCCCUGAACCUGCCUGCCCCUCUCUUCCAGGGCAGCAAACACCCCCUCUCUCAUAUUCAUGCUUUGCACCCGCAUUCCCUCUGCCCCGAGUGUGUGCCCCCCAUCCUGGCACACUCCUACUCAUCCCUCUAUGCCCCACUAUAACGUCGCCACCCCUGGAGAGCCUUCUCUGGCCCCCCCAGGCCGAGUGAGUCAGUCCCUGCCCUCCGGGAUGUGCCUCUAUUUUAGCUGUUAUCUCUGUAGUCACGUCUUUAGAGCUCGGUCUCCCCAGAGAGCCCCACAACUCUUCGAGGAUGGGGCCAAGGGGCUCAUUUACCUUCCUCCCCCAGCACAGGGGGCAGGCCGGCUCGGUGCUCUGUGAGUCAGUAGGAUGGUCUCUGUACCCCUCUUCUCCAGCUUUCCACAGGAUGCUAUUACUGUCCCCACCCGCCGAAUGUCCCGCCGCUGCUCAGGUCCCAGCCCAAGGGGGCCGGAAGUGGCUGCCCCCACAGACUCCAGAUGGCAGCUGUCAGAGGGGCCGGAAGGACAGACAGGAGAGUUCUGCUGGCUGGGCUGGGGGGUGGGGAGGAGGGAAAAGGUGAGGGCAGGUAGAAGAAAGACAGCCAAGUGCAGAGGGCGCCAGAACUGAGAAGAAAGCAGACGGGCGGCCAUGGUGUUGGUGUCCUCCAAGGGAUGACGGUAAAGAAGAGGAUUUUUCUAAAGAAUUAGCUGUUAGAGUCAGCUUGUUGAGCUCAGCAUUCCUCAGAGGCCAGACCAUGUGCCUCUCGCCUUCAAUGUUGUUACACAAUCUAGUGGCCGCUUUGGGAAUGCGUUUUAGGGAACAUCUCUUCAGGCUCAGGGCAGAUCUCCCUGGAGUGACAGAGUUAGAAAGAAUAUGUUCCUAAAAGAAGGGCCUGUUCUCCCAAAGACAAGAGAAUGAAUUCUCUCUAGAUGAGCACUUUCUGACUCGGGGUCCCUGCCGGAGGCUGGGACGGCUCUGCCCAAAACGACACAGGACGGACACAUCGCAUGUAUACACUGCUGCAAAUUUUUCAGCCACGAUUCCUUGCCUGGUGGACCCACCUCUCCCGGACCACAAGGUCCUGGAAGGGCCAUGAGAGUACACAGCCCCCUAUGGUCAAGGCUGGGACAAAAAAAAGACCGAGACCGACGAGAAGAACCUCCUCCUCACUCGAAGUAGAGCAAAAGGUGGCAUGUGUUGCUUACUAUGUCCUUCUAAGGCCUAAAAACAUGCCUUUGUGCCUCAGUUACCUCAUCUGUAAAAUGGAGAUCAAAAGACCCAUUUCUCAGGUUUGUGGCGAGAAAGAAAAGCGUGAGACAUAAGGUUCCUGGGCUGCAACGGGCAGGCGGUAGGAGCUCAGUCUGUGCACAUUCCCUGCUCGUCUCCCAGAGAGGGCCCCACGGUUUAUACCUUUCUUAUGCUGGAGGUGAAUGUGCCCUAAGCUAAAUACCCUGCCCUCCUGGGAGCUGGCCGUCUCCUCUGAGGGAAAGCGGAGUGCGAGAGCGCGGAGGGGGCAGAGGAAACUGCUUGUUCAUGUUUGUCUCUCCUACCUGCAGUAAGACUGUUCCCCCAGGGAUUGUGAGCUGUAAACAGUACUUCGGGGCAUUCUCCCAGGACAGCAGCUGAACAUCUUCAAUAGCGCUGUAGGAGACCGAGUUUUCCAUGUACCCAGUUGGCUGCAGCAAAAAGAAAAAAAGAAAAAGAGAGAGAGAAGACACACAUUGGUUACAAGAUCAGGCACAGUAUCCAUGCCUCAAAGAAGGUUCCAGAAAACAUCCUCCCGCCCCCCCCCCCCCAUUCUGGCAACAGGCAAACCGAGUUGGUACAGACACGGGGCGACUCUGGAGACCAAAGGAACUCCGUCUUUCCUAGCAUCCCAGCUGGCAGGAGGGGGCUGCAGUGGAAACCCGCCCCCGUGUUUGGAGCUGUAGAGUCGGGACCAGACUGGGGGCACCUUAAGGGCAAAGCCUGUACCCUGUUCCUCUGGGCGUUCACGGGGCCCAGCACAGGGCAGAGCCUGGAUCCCUCCAGCCCUCACUGUGUCCAAGCCACUGCCUUCUCCUGCCCAGAAUGCAGUCAUAGACCCCCUUGGAUUUCCCGGUCUCGUCUCCCCACCCAGAUAUGCACUCUCCACUCGAGACCCAGGGCCACAUUCCAAGUCGACGAACUGUAUCCCCCUACUCCCUGUUCAGUGUCCUUCCAUAGCUCCCGGUGGCCCAAGCACGAAUCCCACGUGCCCCUCCACCCCUGCCGGGCUCCUUCCUCCAGCCGCACCCACUUUCUCUUCUCCGUCGGCCCUCCCCAAUGGCCCACCCGGUGGCACCACACAGUUAGCCUGCCCUUUGUCCCCAGACGGUUGUGGCCCAAUCCCUGGCAUCUCCUCCUCCACUGUCCAGGCCUCAGCUCCACAGGUCUUCAGGGGGGCCUGCUACCCCCCAGACCCUAAAGCCCACCUGGCCACAUCCUUCCCUGUGCCCUCGGCGCUCCGCGCACCCCAGUGAAUCACUGUGGACGCCUACCAUAUGUCAUCUACUGAUGCCUGCCUCCUGGCCAGGCUGCAGCUCCGUAAGGUCAGCCCCGUGUCUGUCUUGCUCCCUGCCCUCUCUCCACAGAGCCUGGCACGUGGCAAGGGCUCAACAAUUUGUGUCGAAAGGAAGAACUGGAACAGCUUUCGUCGGUCAAUGCUGGGGUGAGGGCAGGGAGAGAGAAACUCACAGCCGCUCACUACUCUCUGAGGGAGCUCCCCUGUCACGGAGAGAAGGCACCAGGAGCCAAGGGGAUGCACUGGUCACCAGGUACCAGCAGCGUCCUUAUCGCCCUGACCCCAGGAAGCCAUACUUUAGCAGAGCCAGAGGCAAGCGUAGCUUAGCCCAGAAGGCAGAAUGUGACGGCUGACACGUCCCCAGCCGUGACACGCGCCAAGCGAGGUCUCCUUCCAUCCUCACAACGGCCCCGUGGAGCAGGUGCCAGGGCCAUCCCACCACACGAUGAGGAACCUGAGGUGUCACAUGACUUGCCCAAGACCCGUACCUCUGGUCUAACCGUGACAAAAGGAUCGGAUAAACCCCAACCGAAGGACGUUCCUCACAACACCUGACCAGUACUCAUCAAAACCAAGCAAGGUCCAAGCAACUGUCCCAGACAUGAGAAUUCUCUGUCUAUGGAGGAGGACCACUCCUUGCACUGUGGGAUCCCCAGUGGAAUCCUGGGACAGAAGACGGACAUUAGGUAAAAAUGAAGGGAAGCAAAUAAAGCAUGGACUUUAAUAACAGCAUAUCACUACUGGUUCAUUAGUUGUGACAAAUGGAUCAUGUUUCUGGGAGAUGUUCACAACUGGGGUAGCGGGCUUAGGGGUCCAUGGAAACUCUGUGCUGCCUUUGUAACUUUUCUGUACAUCUCAAACUGUCCUAAGAUAAAAUGU